AAUACGUAGGGGGCAAGCGUUAUCCGGAUUUACUGGGUGUAAAGGGAGCGUAGACGGCGAGACAAGUCUGAAGUGAAAGCCCGGGGCUCAACCCCGGGACUGCUUUGGAAACUGCCUUGCUAGAGUGCUGGAGAGGUAAGUGGAAUUCCUAGUGUAGCGGUGAAAUGCGUAGAUAUUAGGAGGAACACCAGUGGCGAAGGCGGCUUACUGGACAGUAACUGACGUUGAGGCUCGAAAGCGUGGGGAGCAAACA
This 253-nucleotide ribosomal RNA is filed under the name uncultured bacterium. RNAcentral describes it as "partial 16S ribosomal RNA". It matches the Rfam family "Bacterial small subunit ribosomal RNA", at positions 522 to 774 of the family's 1533-position model. The record is from RNAcentral.